ACCAGCCCAGGCUGGAUGCAUGAGACAAGUGCUCGGGCCUGGUGCACUGGGAAGACCCAGAGGAAUCGGGUGGGGAGAGGGGUGGGAGGGGGGAUCGGGAUGGGAAAUACUUGUGGAUCCGUGGCUGAUUCGUGUCGGUGUAUGACAAGAACCGCUACAGUGUUGUGAAGUAAUUAGCCUCCAACUAAUGAAAAUAAAUUAAAAAAAAAAAGAUAAUUAUUCUCUUUCCAUUCCACGAAAAGUGAGAUAGUGAGGUGAUAUCUGGGAGAUAGUGAGGGACAGGGAAGCCUGGCGUGCUGCUGUUCAUGGGGUCGCAGAGAGUUGGACCCGACUCAACAAAUGUGAGAGCGGGCAUGUUUCUCACCAGAAAUAAAACAGGAUUUGUUAACAUUUUGGAGUUGAGUCAACUAGGGUUCUUUGCCUUCUCAGCACUCUGGUGGAUUAAAAACACAAAUAGUGCAAUAGUUUAUUCAGCUUGUUUUGGUGGUCAUGCCAAAGGCAAAAGUCCUUUGUGAUGUUAAUAUAAAAAAUCAGAAGAAAUCCCUCGAAUAGAGUUAUAAAAGGGUUUCCAGUGACAAUUGGUGCUUUCUCCAAUGCCACUGCGAUGCCGGCUAUAGAAAGUCUAUCAGUUCACUAUAUGUGUCAGAUAUUUAUAUUUAUCGGUUCUAAAUGCAUCAGAACAGAAGGCAAGGAGUGGCCUGAAAUCUUGAAAAAGAAAAGGCAUGAAAAAAAAAAAAAAAGAAAAGGCAUGAAGUUGGCUGCCCUGGUGCUGGAGAACAGGAAAUAGAAAACAAGGCAGUCUUGUCCAGGUUGAUAACCUAUCUCAUCAUUUGGACAGAGAGCUCAAUCCCUUCUGCUCAGAGCGUUCAGAAAUCUGACCUACAAAGAGCCUGGCUCUACCAAUGGACGCACCAUGCUCUAAUCAACUGAGCUAAGCUGAUACAACAAAAAAUUUUUAAACCUCACUGAUGGACUUCCCUGGUGGCGUAGUGGAUAGGAAUCCGCCUGCCAAUGCAGGGGACACGGGUUCUUUCCCUGAUCUAGGAAGAUUCCAUAUACUGCAGAGCAACUAAGUCCCUGUGCCCCAAGUACUGAGCUCACACUCUAGAGCCUGCUGCCGCAACUACUGAAGCCUUGGCAUCCCAGAGCCUGCUGCCGCAAGUACUGAAGCCUGUGCAUUUGGAGCCUGUGCGCUGCGACAAGAGAAGCCAUGGCAAUAAGAAACCCACGUACCAUAACGAAGAGAAGCCCCCGCUUGUCACAGCUAGAUAAAAGCCCG
Long non-coding RNA from Cervus elaphus (red deer), 1279 nucleotides. RefSeq lists it as uncharacterized. NCBI's taxonomy places the organism in Eukaryota, Metazoa, Chordata, Mammalia, Artiodactyla, Cervidae. The record is from RefSeq and is a predicted model, not a curated record. The transcript has 3 exons.